RNAcentral lists this ribosomal RNA (446 nucleotides) under uncultured bacterium. RNAcentral describes it as "partial 16S ribosomal RNA". It matches the Rfam family "Bacterial small subunit ribosomal RNA", at positions 338 to 795 of the family's 1533-position model. The record is from RNAcentral.
CCUACGGGCGGCAGCAGUCGAGAAUCAUUCACAAUGGGGGAAACCCUGAUGCUGCGACGCCGCGUGGGGGAAUGAAGGUCUUCGGAUUGUAAACCCCUGUCAUGUGGGAGCAAAUUAAAAAGAUAGUACCACAAGAGGAAGAGACGGCUAACUCUGUGCCAGCAGCCGCGGUAAUACAGAGGUCUCAAGCGUUGUUCGGAAUCACUGGGCGUAAAGCGUGCGUAGGCUGUUUCGUAAGUCGUGUGUGAAAGGCGCGGGCUCAACCCGCGGACGGCCCAUGAUACUGCGAGACUAGAGUGAUGGAGGGGGAAGCGGAAUUCUCGGUGUAGCAGUGAAAUGCGUAGAUAUCGGGAGGAACACUCGUGGCGAAGGCGGGUUCCUGGACAUUAACUGACGCUGAGGCACGAAGGCCAGGGGAGCGAAAGGGAUUAGAUACCCUUGUAGUC